CUUUCGGAUUGUAAACCUCUGUCACUAGGGAAGAAAAACUAGCCGUUAAAUAGCGUCUAGUCUGACUUAACCUGGAGAGGAAGCAGUGGCUAACUCCGUGCCAGCAGCCGCGGUAAUACGGAGACUGCAAGCGUUAUUCGGAUUCACUGGGCGUAAAGGGUGCGCAGGCGGCCGUAUGUGUUAGGUGUGAAAGCCCGAGGCUUAACCUCGGAAUUGCGCCUAAAACUAUAUGGCUAGAGUAUUGGAGAGGGUAGCGGAAUUCACGGUGUAGCAGUGAAAUGCGUAGAUAUCGUGAGGAACACCAGAGGCGAAGGCGGCUACCUGGACAAUUACUGACGCUCAGGCACGAAAGCGUGGGGAGCAAAAGGGAUUAGAUACCCCUGUAGUCCACGCCCU
RNAcentral lists this ribosomal RNA (396 nucleotides) under uncultured bacterium. RNAcentral's name for it is "bacterial SSU rRNA". It matches the Rfam family "Bacterial small subunit ribosomal RNA", at positions 415 to 803 of the family's 1533-position model. The record is from RNAcentral.